Molecule: transfer RNA, 44 nt
Filed under: Demodex brevis
Lineage: Eukaryota; Metazoa; Arthropoda; Arachnida; Trombidiformes; Demodicidae
Description: tRNA-Arg
Source: RNAcentral
CAAGAAUAACAAUCAUCUUCGAAAUGAUAAAAAAAAAUUCUUUA